RNAcentral lists this ribosomal RNA (638 nucleotides) under Escherichia coli. Its description in RNAcentral is "partial 23S ribosomal RNA". It matches the Rfam family "Bacterial large subunit ribosomal RNA", at positions 551 to 1191 of the family's 2925-position model. The record is from RNAcentral. Lineage: Bacteria; Pseudomonadati; Pseudomonadota; Gammaproteobacteria; Enterobacterales; Enterobacteriaceae.
UGAAACCGUGUACGUACAAGCAGUGGGAGCCUCUUAAUGGGGUGACUGCGUACCUUUUGUAUAAUGGGUCAGCGACUUAUAUUCUGUAGCAAGGUUAACCGAAUAGGGGAGCCGAAGGGAAACCGAGUCUUAACUGGGCGUUAAGUUGCAGGGUAUAGACCCGAAACCCGGUGAUCUAGCCAUGGGCAGGUUGAAGGUUGGGUAACACUAACUGGAGGACCGAACCGACUAAUGUUGAAAAAUUAGCGGAUGACUUGUGGCUGGGGGUGAAAGGCCAAUCAAACCGGGAGAUAGCUGGUUCUCCCCGAAAGCUAUUUAGGUAGCGCCUCGUGAAUUCAUCUCCGGGGGUAGAGCACUGUUUCGGCAAGGGGGUCAUCCCGACUUACCAACCCGAUGCAAACUGCGAAUACCGGAGAAUGUUAUCACGGGAGACACACGGCGGGUGCUAACGUCCGUCGUGAAGAGGGAAACAACCCAGACCGCCAGCUAAGGUCCCAAAGUCAUGGUUAAGUGGGAAACGAUGUGGGAAGGCCCAGACAGCCAGGAUGUUGGCUUAGAAGCAGCCAUCAUUUAAAGAAAGCGUAAUAGCUCACUGGUCGAGUCGGCCUGCGCGGAAGAUGUAACGGGGCUAAACCAUG